Molecule: ribosomal RNA, 432 nt
Filed under: uncultured bacterium
Lineage: Bacteria
Description: bacterial SSU rRNA
Rfam family: Bacterial small subunit ribosomal RNA
Source: RNAcentral
UCGAGAAUCUUCGGCAAUGGGCGCAAGCCUGACCGAGCGACGCCGCGUGGAGGACGAAGGCCUUCGGGUUGUAAACUCCUGUCGAGGGGGAGGAAGGGGCAACCUUGACCGAUCCCUGGAGGAAGCACGGGCUAAGUUCGUGCCAGCAGCCGCGGUAAGACGAACCGUGCGAACGUUAUUCGGAAUCACUGGGCUUAAAGCGCGUGUAGGCGGGUCGGCGCGUCGGCCGCUGAAAUCCCCCGGCUCAACCGGGGAACGGGCGCCGAUACGGCCGGCCUGGAGGGGGGUAGGGGGAGCUGGAACUUCCGGUGGAGCGGUGAAAUGCGUUGAGAUCGGAAGGAACGCCCGUGGCGAAAGCGAGCUCCUGGACCCUUACUGACGCUGAGACGCGAAAGCCAGGGGAGCGAACGGGAUUAGAUACCCCCGUAGUCC